UUUUCUUUGACGUUCUUCUGCGUCAUUGCACCCUCAUAUUGACAAGAGGGUGCUCCACCCGGUACUCCUGGGCUGGGGCCAAAAUGCAGGCCACUGAAAUAGUCAUCGAAGUAUGAGGGCAAGGAUUCGGAGUGGCAUCUGAAGCCCCACUGUCUGGAAUCUAAUCCAGUUUUCACCGCGUCUUUUGGCUUUGCUUUUGCUUGCAUUUUUGCCAAAGACUAAGCUAACCUUUGACAAGCAGCACGGAAAUAAGGAUAACAUAAACUUCCCAGAAGCUUUUCAGGACAGUGCUCCUGAAGAAUGGAACAUACAGGGGCCAGAUGGCAAUCUUGGCGUGGAAUACCAAAACCUGCAGUUAGUUAGUCAAACACUGACAACCCCAUCUCCACCUAAGUGGGAAUGCCCCUCUUGUUUGCAAUGCUAGUGAAAUUAGUGAUGAAGAGUUUUAUAGGAAAAUUAGAGAAAUAGAGUUGUGGGGGAAUACUGAAUGGGAUAACCCUGUCUGACACUUAAUCAAUCUUCUCAUGUUUUCUUCCAUCUGCUACUUCUAUAGCUUCUCUUCUUCCUUCCUAAUUAUAGCCCUUUACUAGAAUUCAUGCCUCAUACGUGAAAUUACCAAGUACCAUAAUUCUUCCAAGUGGUAACAAUACCUCAAGACAAGUGCUGGGCAUAGAAGCCAUGGAGCAUAAAUCUGCAAAGAAGUGAAAAGCUAACCUUUUCAAAGAAUAUUACUUCUCUCUCACUUACCAGCUUUACAUCUCCCUGUAUGGCCCCGGAAGAUGGCUGGUUAGCCAGAGAGGGGUAAGAUUCCUCAAGGGAGGAACAACCUAAGACAGGCACAGUUGCAGGGGGGCCAUCAGGUGAGAAAAUGGGGGCCAACAGAGGUGAGGCUUAGAACCUCAACCCCCCAGUUUUGAGAGAAAUCUAUACCCGUGGAAGUUUUGUUGCCCUUGUCUAACUUUGAUUAAUACCUAGUCAUAGGCACAGACCUGAUCAUUUACACUUGCCUUCUUACAGCACUAAAUCAUGCUUUCUAUCUUCAUCUUGCAUCUACCUAUGAUAGAAUAAAUAUUAUGAGGGGAUAAAAUGUACCCAUUGUAUUAGAAAUAUAGAUGAUGAUACCUGCCUAGCUAACUGUAGCAGUGAGUGACCUGUAUUUCACCCUGAGCUGAUAGACUCCAUAGUCACUGCUACAUGCUGCACGCUUCUGCCGUCACACGCCUUACUUAGAAACUGUGUUGCAUAGAAACGAGAGACACAAUAGAGUACGUGUUGCUAGGAAAAGUUUAGGUCAAGGAACAGAAAAAAAAUCACCUGUCUAACACUUGGCUAACCAUGUAUAGAUUAGAAAUAAAUAGAAAGAGAAAAGCUUGCCUAUGCUUGUUAAUCAAAAGAACAAAUGAAAAAUAAUCAUAUCCUUUUGCAAAUGGUAUAAAUAAAGAUGUCAUUGGCACUUUGUUGAGAGACCUUCUCCAACUGACUCAUGCUUUUACCUCUAGUUAACGACUAAAAUCGGUUUUAACUGAGCACCCUAUAUUUUUAUUUGCUAAAUCUUGCAACCCUACUUUAUGUCCAAUUACUCAUGAAUAACAAAAAGGACCAAGAAACAUAUUAAAGGAACCAGGAAGAAGUUAUCUGCACCAGACUGGGUAAAUAUAUAAUACAAACAACCAUGCGCCAACUCCGUCCUGCACCUUUGGGCAUCCCACCCCUCAGGUGGAGCUGGACUCUGGCAAGUAGCACCCAACGUGGGGCUUGAAGGACUCAGAUACACCCAUGUGGGUACCAGACAGACUCAUCAGACAGGUCUCAACCACCACCUCCUCCCCCACACAACUUCCUGAGAGGAAGUGAAAGCCCCUGCCCAAGAAAAAACCUUGAAGAACUUCUAGUACCGCCUUUACAGAACCUUGCUCUCCAAGAUUCCUGAGAAGCUCGCCAGUCGCGACCAAGUCUUCCCCCACGGAGACGAUUGGCAAGAUCAACCGGAAAAGUGACCCUCCGACCUGAGACCAGAUAGAGAAGCUGAUGGAGGAAGCCGAAGCUGUAGAUCGCCUUCCGAGUUUGCCUAUUCCUAGUAAAGAAUUGAAACGGAAUUGGCCUGGGAUACACAGAGAGUUCUGUCUUUACCAGAGCUGUUCUUUGGGGGAUCCAACCAAAGAGAACUUGAACUACAGAUUCAUUUAUUUGAAGUCAACAUUACAUGGUGACCAGAUAGGACCUGAAGGAGAUGAACCCCCGAGAAGUAAUGACCCCUGGAACUCUGUGAUGUACCCAUAGUGUCCCUUGUGCUCUCCACUUCCAUGAGCCAUCAUUUUCCUUUUGGUUUGGAAUAGACUCUUGGAUCCAUGAGUCACACCUAAAGAAAGCACAAAACCUUGACUGGACCUGCACACCAACUGAUGACCUGAAAAUAAAGAUUUCCAGGAGUUGAAGCAGAUGAUAACUGAAGGAGACAGCUUUCCAAAGAUGACUGGACCAGACCUGUGUAUACCUUUUUCUCAUUGUUGCUUCUUAUUUCAUCCCUUUCCUUCUUUGCACCAUCUGAUGUAAAAGGGAGAAACCUUUCUGACUGUUCGAUCUGUCCCCAGAAACUCUGAUCUGUUCAUGAUAUUGGAGAUCCCUUAGUCUUCCCUAUUUAAAUACUGUUUGUUCCCCUGUACUCAUGGGAAAUACAAAUAAGCUAUCUUGUCUGCAAGAACUUUGGAAAAGAUUCUUCAAGCUAGAAUGGUGCCUUGGAAAUGUCUGUUCCUCAUCUUAAUCUGUAUAAAUCAUUUUUAAGCUUUAUACCUGUUGCCUGUCAAACCUUUGUAGAAAUGACUUGCUUGGUAGUGUGAUGCACUUUGACCUUUAUAAGCACCUCCAACACUUAUGUCAGGUGGAAAAUGCCUGAGAGUUCUCCCUCCUACCCUUCCUUGUUACUCAAAUGUGGCUUCAACAGUUUCUAAUCUAGGUACUAUUCCUCUGAUGUGGAACAUGACAACCAGGAAAGGGCUUUCUGGCACCAAGGGACAAAACCACUAAAUAUCAAAAAACCUCGACUCUUGAUCAGCAACCUUUUCAAGAAAAGAUCUUGGUCAAAAGAGGGGAAUGUGAACAUAAAUAAAGGAAAUUGCAUUGAAAUGGAGUUGGGAAGCCUUGAGUGGGGAGUGCGCAUUCACUGCCACUUCUCAUAAGAAGCGUACGUUGUAUUCCCUGGCAGGAAGAAGCUUGCUUUAUACACCCCAGCUGGAGGAGGGAAGAAUUUCUCCUGGCCGGCAACAGCACAGCUAAUGAGAACUCAGCAAAACAGCCCCUCCUAACUUCUUCCUUUCCCCUGUGAAGGCAAGCCCUUUUCCUCUGUUCUCCAGAGUGCCUAUGGUUUGCCAGCCUCCUCCUUUUCUAUUCCCAAACAGAUGCGUUUCACUGGUGAAAUAAUUCGUUCUUUUCUUUUUUAAGGGCAACAGAAGCAGAAACCAUCUGAGGUUUCUGGUAGCAGACUGAAGGGUUCUGAAAAACUGCGGUUUGCUGGGAAGAGAGGUGGUGUCUGGGGCAUCAGGGUAGUUGGUGAGAGCGGGCUGUAGGAGAGAGGAAAGAUCUUGCUUACUACCUGCUUCCCAUUUACCCCAUUCCUUUAAGCGCUCAGAAUGUUAAAUUGACCUGCUGGCCUUUAUGUAAAACAUUAGUGUGCAAACUUCUCCCAGCAGAAACGUAGGCAAAAUUACAGUUGACCCUUGAACAACAUGAGGGUUAAGGGCAGUCAAAAAUCUGGACAUAACUUUUGACUCCCCCAAAAUUUGACUAUUAAUAGCCUACUGUUGACCAGAAGCCAUACUGAUAACAAAGUUGAUUAAUACGUUUUGUAUAUGUGCUAUAUACUGUACUUUUACAAUAAAGUAAGCUAGAGAAAAAAAAUUUUUUAAUUGUCAUGCAUCUCCAAAAAGUUUUCUAGUAUAUGUAUUGAAAAAUCCACAUAUAAGUGGACCCACACAAUUCAAACCAAUGUUGUUCAAGGGUCAACUGUGUAGUGAAUUGUGCUUGUAUUUUUAUUGCAGUGGGGAAGCUUUGGGUUUCUCUCCAAGUUUAACCCCUUCGUGUCCUGCAUGUGGCUAUUGCCAGUUAAGUGGGACCAGUGGCCAGAGGUCCGGACUUCCCAUCAUUUGCUGCCCCUUUCACCCUUUGCCUGAAAUACAAAUAGGUUGGGAGACCACAAAGGCCCCGGGCUCUCUGGAAGGAAACCAUCAUGGUUUCAGAAAGAAUAGGCCAAAGCCAGCUCAUUUAACCACUAGAUGUGAUUAAAUAAUAAUAAUGUGUGAGCACUCAAAAUCAUACCAGACUCUUCUUGGAUGACUUUGUCAUCGCGUUUAGUUUUUCUAACAACCUGGUAAGAUAGAUCCUUAUUAUCCCCAUUGCACAGUUGAGGAAAUGGAUUUAAUUAACUUACCUGGGUCACUCAGCUAGUAUGUUGCAUAUCUAGGGUUUGAUGGAUUUGAAAUUCCAUCUACCUGACCCUAAACACCAUUCCUAAUUUGUGUGCCUUAUCUGAAGCACGCAGGGCUAUAUGGUUUUCCUGAAUCUUUUUCUUGCAUUGAAUGUCUUAUUAGAUUUCACCAUUUGAAAUUCCAUCCCUUGAAUCAUGAAGGCUUUGCCUACCCAAAUUCCCUUUUCAAAAGGUAUCUGUCCAAAGGAGCAGCAGUGGCUUAAGCAUAUCAGAUAACAUUUGAGUGGAGGAAAAUGGGCUCUCAGCUAAGUCCCCCACAAAGGACAUGGGCAAUUAAUUCAGUUUCCUCAAGUUAAUGAGUUUUGGAGAAUCAGGGACACUAAAGGUCCAAAGAAAGAUUGGAUCAAGUAUAAAUUUUAUAUCGGUACUCUCAGAGGUUUGCUACCAUUUAGAAAGCCAACCCUUUGGGGCCUAAUCUAUCAUUUUCGCAUCCAGAUGACAUUAUUAGCACAUAAUAUAAACAAUACAUUAUAAUGCUCAGAGGCUCCUGACUCAACCUUCUGUAGCCACUCUUGCCUCCUUCACAGUUACCAUUAUUUCUCAGGAUUACAGGAAGAUUCAAUCAUAUUCAUAUAUCCUGAGGGAGUUUUUCACCCAGCAGACUGAGACAGCAUACUGUCACAGGCCCUUUGAUAUUCUGGUUUCACUGUACAUUUUAAUAGGUACUCGUUUAGAUUAAUCAACAAUCUGUAAGAUGUAACAAUAUUGUUGAGUGCACAUUAUAUUCCAGACACUGUAGUAAUAAGCACUUUCCAUGCGUGAUCUCAUUAAAAUCUCAUGAGUCUGAGAACAAAUUUAUCCCAGAAAGACCAACUUGUUCAAAGUCACACACACACAUAAAUAGCAGAGCAAAGAUUUAGGUCCAGUCUAACUCCAGAGCCUCAUAACCAUGCAUGGUUGUAGCUAUAGUUAGAUAAUAAUAGGUGAUCUAAGUAUAGUCAUAGGGGCUCUGAGAAAAGAUGGUAGGGUAUUUACUGGUCAACAAUGUGGUCUGUACCACUAUUGCUUAGAGCUCAUUCCUGGAAGGGUAACUCUCAAUGAAAUAGCACAUUUAUAAUAAUAAUAAUACAUAUAACUGAAUAACAAUAA
This is a long non-coding RNA of Manis pentadactyla (Chinese pangolin), 5569 nucleotides long. RefSeq lists it as uncharacterized. The record is from RefSeq and is a predicted model, not a curated record. Lineage: Eukaryota; Metazoa; Chordata; Mammalia; Pholidota; Manidae. The transcript has 8 exons.